UACGGAGGGUGCAAGCGUUGUCCGGAUUUAUUGGGUUUAAAGGGUGCGUAGGUGGCUUUUUAAGUCAGUGGUGAAAGCCUGCAGCUUAACUGUAGGACUGCCAUUGAUACUGAGGAGCUUGAGUACUGAUGAGGUAGGCGGAAUUGAUAGUGUAGCGGUGAAAUGCAUAGAUAUUAUCAAGAACACCGAUUGCGAAGGCAGCUUACUAAGGAGUUACUGACACUGAGGCACGAAAGCGUGGGGAUCAAACAGG
Molecule: ribosomal RNA, 253 nt
Filed under: uncultured bacterium
Lineage: Bacteria
Description: partial 16S ribosomal RNA
Rfam family: Bacterial small subunit ribosomal RNA
Source: RNAcentral